AGAAUCAACGCUGGCGGCGUGCCUAACACAUGCAAGUCGCACGAGAAAGGGACUUCGGUCCUGAGUACAGUGGCGCACGGGUGAGUAACACGUGACUAACCUACCCUUGAGUGGGGGAUAACCUAGGGAAACCUGGGCUAAUACCGCAUAAUACCUUCGGGUCAAAGGAGCAAUUCGCUUAAGGAGGGGGUCGCGGCCGAUUAGUUAGUUGGCGGGGUAAUGGCCCACCAAGACUGUGAUCGGUA
RNAcentral lists this ribosomal RNA (245 nucleotides) under uncultured bacterium. RNAcentral's name for it is "partial small subunit ribosomal RNA". It matches the Rfam family "Bacterial small subunit ribosomal RNA", at positions 26 to 285 of the family's 1533-position model. The record is from RNAcentral.